GCCUUUUUCACGUGGGCUUCCAUAAACGGGCUUUGGAGGGGUUCAUGAACUCCUGCAAAUAUAGGUGGCGUUUGGUGUAUAAUUCCGAUCGCCACCUUUGCCUAUUCCUUCCUCAUUCACCCGAGGGACCCAUACCCAUUCACCGUACGGAAACAUCAAAAACAAGCAUUGCUCCAGUGGCUGGCUCUGGCUUCUCUCCAAGGUAUGCCUCUUCCCUACAGAAGUUCUGUUUUGAUUGGUCUUAUGGCUUUUCAGGUCAGGGAAAAGUCUGUUAAAAACCUGUAUUCUU
RNAcentral lists this long non-coding RNA (289 nucleotides) under Mustela putorius furo (domestic ferret). Its description in RNAcentral is "lncRNA (ENSMPUG00000029083.1)". Lineage: Eukaryota; Metazoa; Chordata; Mammalia; Carnivora; Mustelidae. The record is from RNAcentral.